This 484-nucleotide ribosomal RNA is filed under the name uncultured bacterium. RNAcentral's name for it is "partial 16S ribosomal RNA". It matches the Rfam family "Bacterial small subunit ribosomal RNA", at positions 28 to 507 of the family's 1533-position model. The record is from RNAcentral.
AUUGAACGCUGGCGGCAUGCUUUACACAUGCAAGUCGAACGGCAGCGCGGGCUUCGGCCUGGCGGCGAGUGGCGAACGGGUGAGUAAUGCAUCGGAACGUGCCCAGUAGUGGGGGAUAGCGCGGCGAAAGCCGGAUUAAUACCGCAUACGACCUGAGGGUGAAAGCGGGGGACCGAAAGGCCUCGCGCUAUUGGAGCGGCCGAUGUCGGAUUAGCUAGUUGGUGGGGUAAAGGCUUACCAAGGCGACGAUCCGUAGCUGGUCUGAGAGGACGACCAGCCACACUGGGACUGAGACACGGCCCAGACUCCUACGGGAGGCAGCAGUGGGGAAUUUUGGACAAUGGGGGCAACCCUGAUCCAGCCAUGCCGCGUGCGUGAAGAAGGCCUUCGGGUUGUAAACCGCUUUUGUUCGGGAAGAAAUCCUCUGGGCUAAUACCCCGGGGGUAUGACGGUACCGGAAGAAUAAGCACCGGCUAACUACGUG